UCCCGGAAGCUGGUUUCUUGUGGUGACUUAGAUUUAUCCAUCGCUGCAUCUAGCACCAUUUGAAAUCAGUGUUCUAGGAG
Xenopus tropicalis (tropical clawed frog) is the source of this 80-nucleotide microRNA precursor. Ensembl annotates it as xtr-mir-29b. Its record names the gene xtr-mir-29b. The record is from Ensembl. Lineage: Eukaryota; Metazoa; Chordata; Amphibia; Anura; Pipidae.